UCUAAAGAAGUUUUUAUAUUUGAUCUAACUCAAAAAAAUAAAUUUUCUGUCCAGCCAUCAGUUUUAUGUAAAAAAUGUGUUUGAUUUAAAUUAAAAGUAAGUCCUGUUGGUGUAAAGUAAAUAAAUUUCUGUAAAUUAAAGUAAAAAUAUUAGUUUCCAUUGUCACGUGACUUACGUAACGUCAUCCUGGUCGUGCGUGAGGACGUUCAGCUGAAGUUCAGCUUUCCGCCAUCUUGUUAUACACUGCACCGAUGGAUGAACUCCGCGUCGUACAAUGGGAUUCAAGAAAAUUGGCCAAUCAUAUCCCAUCCAUGGAGAGACAUCAGCAAACAUUAUGACAAAGACGUUUGCCUUACGCAGACAAGAGAUUGUGGAAAACCAACCUACUGUUCAAGAACUGCAAGAAAGAUUGCCAGAGGAGAUUAAUGCAGAAUUGCGCAUCACGAUCUUACCUUGAAAAUCAAGAUUUAUGGCGUCUUUGGACAGACAGAGCUCUCAUGUUAUUAGGAGCAAAGGUGGAGUCCUCCAUGAAAAACUAAGGACACUAUUAAAGUUAUGGAUCAGAGUCUGGACGUAGAAAUCAGAAGAGAAAGCCUGCUGAAGUGCCUGAUUCAUGUACUUUGGUGAAGAUGCAAGCUGUCUGAUCAAAGAAUACCAGGCUGACAAGAGGGAAGAAGCGGAGAGGGAAUUCAAAAAGACCACCAUGGAAUUUUUUGUGAUCCGUGAAAGUGAUGCUCCUAAUCCUGCACUGGACAUUUUCAUUGAUGGUGUGGAGUAAUAAAUGAGUUGCCCUCUGUUGCAUGUGCAUGUUUGGACUCAUUUGAACUGAACUUAAAAUAUCCUGAUGGACUCAAAUAUACCUUUAAAGCCUUUAAAAAAAAUGUCAUGGACGUAGACAGUAAGCAGAUGAGCCGAAGGGUGCAGAACCCCUCUUCAAAACUGCAGGAGUAAAUUUGUUUCCUUUGACCCAGCUACUGAAGGUACAUUUUUGAGCCUUUUAUACAACAUUAACUGUAAUACUGUUUACUAAACCUGAUUUGUUUUAUCUUGAUUAAGUUUUAUGGUUUAUCUAUCAACCAUAACUGAUUCUUAUUUAGAAUUUACAUUUUAUCCAGUGUGUCUACAAAUACUAAAAACUGUUAUACAGUAUGUGUUUUUAUAACAAUACUAUACAUAUUGUUGAAAUGUUUUAUGACAAAUGGACUCUAUGCACGGCGGUGCUUGACGUAUUUCCGGUGAAAUCUCAGGAUGCUGGACUACUUCCGCCAGUCAUAGAGCUCAAUGAUAUUCAGGAACGUUGGUUGCCAAAAUAGCCAAAAUAACACUGCAAAUUUUGUUGAUACUUGUUAAAUUUACAUAGAAAUAACUUAUACUUUACAUUUAAUACCAUAAUGACAUUUAAACGUAUGAAAGUAUAUUUUUAUAGACGGGAGAACCGAACUUCUAGCCACCACUGGUGUGUGUCAUAGUGUUUACAGCAUUAGACUCAAGCAUGACAACUUCUACACUGCUACCCUGUAUCUGCAUUAACACUAGUUUUAGAUAGAAAUUGCACUGAUAACAGUGAUAUUCAUCUGUUGUUGAUAUACUUAAGAAUUUUGUAUAAUUGUUAUCAUCAGUACUAGCGAAGAUAACAUCUGUGGUUAUACAAGCAAAAUGUUAGAACAGUAAAAAACGUGUAUUUUGCGCAUUUAUGUAUGCUUUAUUAAUAACAAAUGCAAAAGACAAAUAGAAAAUUCAUAUCAAUGACAACAAGAAUAACUUAAGAGAAAAAUAAAACACACACACAACAAACUAAAUACACGGGGUAUUAAAAUAAACAAACAGGACAAGAAAUAAACAAAUAAUGGAAUAGAUUUCUUAAAUGGACUUUACCAUAGUCAAUAGUUCUUUUUUCGUUGUUAUUUAUAUCCUAUAAAGUUCCAAGAUAUAACUAAAAAAUAUCCAAGUAAAAAUGUUUUGACAAUCGACGUAAAUAUACAAAAAAAAAAAGGUAUUAAACGUCACAUUUAAUAUCAGUCCUGCUGCAGUUCGUGUUGCUUUUUCCUCAUAUAGCAGUGAGAUUUCAUUUACAUCUUUUAAUUUACCUGACACUUUAAGAUAACAUUACAAAGACAUUAAUCCUGAAUCAUAAAAACAGCACAAAGCUCUGCUAGUAUGAUGAACAUAUCAUAAUGAUUACAGAGAUAAGACGACUUGUAACGUUAACCUUUCUCGAGUUUGCACAUCUGGACAAUUCUUCACACAUCACAGGUUGUAAAUUUGGGUAAAUCCAGCAAACAACGAGUACAUUUAGCGAUUCUGCCGUCACUCCGCUUUAAAUCUCCCGUACCGGAAACUGAAGAGCAGCCUUGAGUCAAACGCGGAAGUUAAGCGUGCAUAGAGUCCAUUGUCAAGAUUAUAAUGUGUUGACAUUGUUAGACAGUGUGUAUUUGUACAAAAAAUGUAUAUUAUGACAAAAUAAAUUGUCAAAAGUUUGAUGCUUGAAGUCAUUCAUCUUAGACAGAUGGUAAAAUUACACAUUCUGAAAGUAAAUAAAUUUCUUUAUAUUAAAUUAAUAUUUUAAAUUGUAUU
Long non-coding RNA from Paramisgurnus dabryanus, 2574 nucleotides. RefSeq lists it as uncharacterized. The record is from RefSeq and is a predicted model, not a curated record. NCBI's taxonomy places the organism in Eukaryota, Metazoa, Chordata, Actinopteri, Cypriniformes, Cobitidae.